Molecule: ribosomal RNA, 357 nt
Filed under: Triticum aestivum (bread wheat)
Lineage: Eukaryota; Viridiplantae; Streptophyta; Magnoliopsida; Poales; Poaceae
Description: partial small subunit ribosomal RNA
Source: RNAcentral
AUGCCAACGCAAACUGGCGAGUCCAAGGAUGAUGACGUUGUAAUUACCGGCGUAGGUCGCUUUGAACCAGGGAAUCCUGUCGCUUUGGCCAAGCAUACUGUGAAAGAAGAUUUUUCUGGCAUGAAAAAAGGCAAAUGGGAUGUUGAUCUGGAAACAUAUGCUGCUCUGAGUGCCCAAGAUGUUCAUUCUGGUUACUUGAACCGGCUAUAUACUAGUCGUGACUAUGAAGCUGGCCUGGUAAAAAUAAUGAGAGAUAAAUUUGAGGCUGAAGUGAGGAUCAAAGAGGACCAGAUUACUGAUCUGCAGGAGAUUUUGAAAACCCAACAAGCUAAACCGACAAGGCAAGGGAAGAAAUAA